This 254-nucleotide ribosomal RNA is filed under the name uncultured bacterium. RNAcentral describes it as "partial 16S ribosomal RNA". It matches the Rfam family "Bacterial small subunit ribosomal RNA", at positions 524 to 776 of the family's 1533-position model. The record is from RNAcentral.
UACAGAGGGAGCGAGCGUUAUCCGGAAUGAUUGGGCGUAAAGCGUCUGUAGGUGGCUUAGAAAGUCUACUGUCAAAUACCAGGGCUCAACCUUGGGCAGGCAGUAGAGUACUUUUAGACUAGAGUGUGGUAGAGGUAGAGGGAAUCCCUAGCGUAACAGUGAAAUGUGUAGAUUUUAGGGAGAACACCAGCGGCGAAGGCGCUCUACUGGGCCAAGACUGACACUGAGAGACGAAAGCUAGGGGAGCGAAUAGG